This 253-nucleotide ribosomal RNA is filed under the name uncultured bacterium. Its description in RNAcentral is "partial 16S ribosomal RNA". It matches the Rfam family "Bacterial small subunit ribosomal RNA", at positions 524 to 776 of the family's 1533-position model. The record is from RNAcentral.
UACGUAGGAUGCAAGCGUUGUCCGGAAUUAUUGGGCGUAAAGAGCUCGUAGGCGGUUUGUCGCGUCGAAUGUGAAAACCCGGGGCUCAACCCCGGGCCUGCAUUCGAUACGGGCAGACUAGAGUUCGGUAGGGGAGUCUGGAAUUCCUGGUGUAGCGGUGAAAUGCGCAGAUAUCAGGAGGAACACCGGUGGCGAAGGCGGGACUCUGGGCCGAUACUGACGCUGAGGAGCGAAAGCGUGGGGAGCAAACAGG